GUCCACGCCCUAAACGAUGGCGACUAGUUGUUGGGGAUUAACAUCCUUAGUAACGCAGCUAACGCGUGAAGUCGCCCGCCUGGGGAGUACGGUCGCAAGAUUAAAACUCAAAGGAAUUGACGGGGCCCGCACAAGCGGUGGAUGAUGUGGUUUAAUUCGAUGCAACGCGAAAACCUUACCUGCCCUUGACAUGUCCGGAAUUCCGCAGAGAUGUGGAAGUGCCCGAAAGGGAGCCGGAACACAGGUGCUGCAUGGCUGUCGU
This 262-nucleotide ribosomal RNA is filed under the name uncultured bacterium. RNAcentral's name for it is "partial 16S ribosomal RNA". It matches the Rfam family "Bacterial small subunit ribosomal RNA", at positions 793 to 1055 of the family's 1533-position model. The record is from RNAcentral.